AUGAAAAAGAUCAGAGGUCUGAGAGAGCUUGCUCUGUUGGAGGAACUACAUGUCAUGUAUUAUUACUGGAGCAUGAAUUCCGUGGAAGAGCAUUGGGAAAGGUCUUGGAUAUCAGGAGAGAGCAUUUGGAUAUCUUUCUGGAAGAGAUGGGAUUUCUAUUUUGGGCGGUUGGCACAAAGAGACGUCAGCGGAUGUUGGCAGAAACCAUGUUUCUCUCCAGCUGCUCCAAUGGAAAUCAUCAUGUUACAAAGUCCUGCUGAACUUACAAGUUACAUACAGGAAGAAAUUUGGGAAGACUCUUUCUUUCCAUUUCCAAAGAUGAAUGUUAUUGUCCUCAUUAAGAUAGAAACACUUUUUGGAUCCUAGUCUUCUCCAGAACCUUUCUCCCAUUGGAACACAAGCCUUUUGAAGUUUCCAGAGACCACUGGGAAUCAUGAAGACCUGACUUUCACUCUGGAUUUCACCCAAGCACAACUAAGUUUCUCACGAUAUAUUAUGAAGACUGGAGAAAUAAAGGCUGACGUUGACAUGAUGGGUGCAUAUUAGGUAGACCAACUACUUUCAAAAGUGCUGAUGAUUGCUGGGGAAGAGAGGAUGGGUCUCUGAUGAGGAGUUAUGAGCUCUACCCUUUGGUCUCUCCUCUUCCAUUCUUGUUCUGCCACUGACUCAGUGCAUGGCCUGGGAAAUGUCAUUUUUGCUCUCUUAGCCUUUGGUUCUUCAUAUGAGACAGGGCAGGUAGAAUGUAAAAUAGAACAGCAGUUCUAAAUCUUUUGAUUUAUAAAUCUUGAACUUUUUACAAAUGCUUUGAUUCAUUUUUCUAGAAAAUACUUAUACACACAAAAUUGACCUACCAUUCCAGGGACUCAUGGAUCUUCUGAAGCCAUGAUCAGAAACUCUCAAGGUGAUGAACAUUUAAAUACUCCCCAGCAAGGACGGGGCAGUGUUAGGGAGUCAAAGACAUGACUAUGGAGCUGUGGUGAUUUCACUUUUAUUUCAAGCACCUCUUUUGCAGAAAGUAAUGGGAGCCAGUCCCUGGGAGACAUCUGGAAAGCAUGUCGCCUGACCUCCAGCUGGGUUUGGUUUCAGUCUGUUCCAACUGGUGACCCUGCAGUGCUCUUUCUCUUUCCCAACCCAGACAUUCUCUGUCUCCCUGUCUGAGCUGGGCCCUUCCUGGCCUUUCAGGAAUGGUGUGCCAAAGACAAGGCAACUCCACCCUGAGAAGGGUCUUACAGCACUGCCUUGUAUUACAAGGGCUCCUUCAGUGGACUCUAAGAAAUUCAUUCCCUCCCUUGCCACUGAAUUUGAUUCCCUUUCCAAAGCCCUCUUCAUAGUUUAUGGAAAGGAUUCUUUUUACAGCCACCAACCAAACAGAGUAUGUUGACCAUUCAGGAGUGGAGUCAAGUCAGAGAGAGAAAGCACAGCUAUGCAUACUGGCAUCUUCUGGCUUCCAAGCCAGCUGCAGAACUACAUGAUCAACAUCGCGUGAGGGAGAAAUGGGGUUGAGUAGAAUGCCCUUUCUCAUCUCUGGUCUCACUCGUUUGGGUUUAUACCAGUCCUCUUGUCAUAGAUCGUGAGCAGCAUUUCUUAGAAUCUCUUUUGGCCAUUCUUUUAUCAUUACCUAUAGCUGUGUUGUCCAGUGCAGCAGUCACUAGUCACAUGUGACUAUUUAAAUUUAUUAAAAUUAAAACUUUAGCUCCUCAGUUGCACUAGCCACACUUCAAGUGCUCAAUAGUCACGUAUGGCUAGUGGCUGUUGGACCAGACAGCACACAUCUAGAACAUUCACAUCUUCACAGAAAGUUGUAUCAGACACCAAUUACAUAUAUGCCUUCAGUAAGUAAACACUCCCCGCCAGCACCUGACUGAGAUUUGAAAGUGUAAAAAUGAUUGAGAUGAGAUUCUGCCCUCAAGAGGCUCAUGGGUUGUGGAGGAGGCAGACAUGAAAUUAUAUCGUCAUAAAACUCUGAGCUUCCGAGGGAGACAGGAAGUAGGUAUUCCAGGCAGAGAUAACAGUAGGUACAAAGGCACAGAAGAGUAAAAAUAUGACGUGUUCAGAGAAGGGGACAUUGCUGCCUUCAUGUUCAUGCUGCUACAUGUUCACAUGUAGAUUAUAUGUGUCUCAUGAGUAAACAGGUGGUGAGAGUGAUGACUAACCAAGGUGGGAAAGUAGACUAAGAUCAGGUUUGAUGAAAUCUUGUCUGCCAUGUCCAUUUGGUAGUUGUUUUGUAAAGGAUAAUUUAUCAGAACUUCACCUGUAACUAGUUUUGAUUUCCUAGAAUUUGGUUCCUUAAAAUUAAAUACCCUUUGCCCCAUCUCGUCAGGAUCUUAUGAUAGAAUCUUUUAAAUAAUUUUGAAUCCUGAGCUCCUGUCCUCUCUGUGGCACAUCUUCUUCUUCCAGGCACUGCCCUCAAGUUCACAUCUCUCAUUGCCACAUCCUAUGGUCACUGGAAGAUGUAAUAAUGUACAGAUAUUUGUGUUUAGCUAAGCAAAGAUGUCCCUUAAAUUGACAAUAAGGUUGAUGACCACAAGCAAAAUGAAACAGGGCAAUGCCUCCAAAGAAUCAGUUAGCUAACUGUGACAACAGGAUCAAGGAAAACUGUGGAAGGACAGGUGGAAAAGACACUUGCAGAAUGCUCUUCAGGAGGCAUUCCUGCAGCUCACUGUGGCACACACAUGCACUUUUCUUUCAAACUACAUAAAUCCUCACAACUGAGGUUGAGGUUCGUUUCUGCUUGUCCUAAAUGUAUCUCGAUAACCAGUAAAGAUGCAUACCAUAAAACCGUUCAAGAAACAUUAAUGGAGCAUCUACUAAGUGUCAGACUCUUGCUGCCUUCAAUGAAGACCAACUUCAUGGGUCUGUGAUGACCAUGGGUCAUGAUCCUGACCUCUGGGAUAUUCAUGAUAGAUUUCAAAACCCUUCCAGUGCUAUCUUCUGCAGUCUCAACAUAUCCCUGCUAGGUAGAUAAGACCAAAUUUUUAUCCCUGUUUUUACAGAUUGCAAAAUUAAAGUCCAGGGACACAAAGUCAUAUCCCAGUAUUGCAUUGAACAAGGGAGCUAGAGUCAGCUCCAGUAUUUCCAAUAUAGGCUCUUAGAGGUUUCCUCAGAAGGCAAGUUAAAUAAUUACAGAAAACUCCCCUAAAAUUACUUUUUCCUAAUAUGUUGGGAAAAAACAUCAAAUAUGAGGCAAAAAAUACUAGGAGAUCCUUGAUGAUUGCAUUUGCUUAAAAAUAGAUACAAUACUCUCAGCAGUUCAAAGCUCCAAACACUUGUAAUGAUCAACAAAAGCUGAAAGCUGAUUUCUUUUGAAAAUCAUCAAGAUUAAAGUGGUCAGGUGGCCACAACCAUUCAGAGCCUUCCUGUUACACCAAAGAAAAGAAAGAACUUGAUGAGUUUACAUGCUUUUUUGAAAGCAUUCAUUUUAUUUUAAUGAAAAGAAAUACACAUCUCUCUUUUCUCAUUUCAGUGGAUCAGAAGAGUUUGUGGCAAAAAUCAUACUGGCCAACACUGAGCCAAUGCUGCAAGAGCAGACGCUAAAUAAAGAAAUCUGUUUUGAGCCUUUAUUGAAUUGUAACUGCACACUUGCAAAUAAAUCCCAUUGCAUGUUGUUUUAAUUAAUGUAAAUAAUAAGAUAACAGUUGGUUAUGGUGGCCUAACCAACCAUACAGUUAAGCAUUCAUUUGUUUUCAAUUAUAGUUAAAAUAUAUUCAACUGAAUACAGCUUAAGUGGUAAUUACAUUCUUUACAAGUUCCUAAUAAUCCCUGGAAUGGCC
This is a long non-coding RNA of Macaca nemestrina (pig-tailed macaque), 3770 nucleotides long. The record is from Ensembl. Lineage: Eukaryota; Metazoa; Chordata; Mammalia; Primates; Cercopithecidae.